CUCCUUCCUCUGAGCUCAGCCCGGCGGAGAGGAGAGAAGAGGACCUCGGGCCCCGUUUCUUCCCCCGGGAGCGGGGGUGCUCCCGCUGCAGCCCGCCCGGCGAAGAGCAGGCACCGUCCCCCACCGCCCCGCGGAGCAGGUGCACAGCCCAGCUGCCUGCUGGCAGGGCCAGGGAGGCGCAGCUGGACGCAGCGAUCGGCGGGGCCUGGCGAAUCUCAGCCAGACAGCGGGAUUCCCCCAGCCGCAGCCUGCUCUGCAUAAUAUAGGAGCGGCCCAGCGGCGAGGCGCGGAGCUGGAAGCACAAACAGGAGAUCAGGAGGUUGUAGACGCUUCCCGGUUGUUUAACUGCGCUUCGGGUUGUCCCGCUGCCCCCGCUCUGAGCAAAGUGAAGAGCCCGAUUAGGACUUUAAGGCUCAGGCCACCCCUGUGACUAGGUAUUUAAACAACAAGUGGAGAUUGUCGUUAGCUGUUUGACAAAGUGUGUUCUAUGAAGAGGGAAGAGGCAUCUGUCUGCAACCAAGGCACCCAAAUACCCCUGAAAAUCUGGGUAACAUUUUCAGAAACACCCAAGAGACCCAUCCUCAGAUGUGACCCCAGAGCCCACGUCUCAUUGCAAGUCAGAUGCUACAGGGUCAUCAAAAGAUCAAACCGCUUUAUAGAACAGUGUAUAUAAAAUGUAUAUGCAGAGUAUGUAACAAACAUGUGUAGUGUUUUAGAUAAAUGGUUCAGAUGUCUGUUCUUGGACCCAAUCCAAUUUUCAUAGCAG
RNAcentral lists this long non-coding RNA (766 nucleotides) under Gopherus agassizii (Agassiz's desert tortoise). RNAcentral describes it as "lncRNA (ENSGAGG00000015628.1)". Lineage: Eukaryota; Metazoa; Chordata; Testudines; Testudinidae. The record is from RNAcentral.